RNAcentral lists this transfer RNA (73 nucleotides) under Desulfotomaculum copahuensis. It matches the Rfam family "tRNA". Rfam says of the family: Transfer RNA (tRNA) molecules are approximately 80 nucleotides in length. Their secondary structure includes four short double-helical elements and three loops (D, anti-codon, and T loops). The record is from Rfam by way of RNAcentral. Lineage: Bacteria; Bacillati; Bacillota; Clostridia; Eubacteriales; Desulfotomaculaceae.
GGGAGCAUAGCUCAGCCGGGAGAGCGCCUGCCUUACAAGCAGGAGGUCACAGGUUCGAUCCCUGUUGCUCCCA